Molecule: small RNA, 189 nt
Filed under: Carbonactinospora thermoautotrophica
Lineage: Bacteria; Bacillati; Actinomycetota; Actinomycetes; Kitasatosporales; Carbonactinosporaceae
Description: Streptomyces thermoautotrophicus Actinobacteria sRNA Ms_IGR-5
Rfam family: Actinobacteria sRNA Ms_IGR-5
Source: Rfam by way of RNAcentral
ACGCGAGAAAGGAGGUGGUCCGGCUGAGUAACUACUGGACGCGCGAGGUGGCUGCGCGCUAGCCGCCUGGCCUCAGGCCUUUCGUCGUAAGACGUGUCCGGCCAGGACGGCCGGCGAAUCCCCCGUGGUCACCCGGCCCGCGGGUGCCUGGACUCGUCCCCCGGGCGCACCGCCCGCGGGCCGUACCAC